Long non-coding RNA from Trichosurus vulpecula (common brushtail), 522 nucleotides. RefSeq lists it as uncharacterized. The transcript has 2 exons. Lineage: Eukaryota; Metazoa; Chordata; Mammalia; Diprotodontia; Phalangeridae. The record is from RefSeq and is a predicted model, not a curated record.
AAAGAAAAUAGUACAAGGUGGGGUGCCAUCCCUUUAGCUUACCAUGUGUGUUCUAGGAUGAAGAAGAAGAUGGGAUCACAGUGAGGGUCGAAGAGUGGGGUAAACAGGAGGUGGCCCACUGCUCUAGUUCGUACUAGAGAAAGAAGAAUAUAAUCGUUUUGCUGACCUUGAAAUCUGUCAACUGUUGUCACCUAGAAAUGGGAUAACAACAUGUAUUUUUCAAAACCAUAUGGGAAAUAAUAUAAUUUCUUUGGAUCAUUAUGAAAAAUGAAAAUAUCCUAUGUGCUUUAACCAAGACCUAGGAUGGGCAGAACCAAAGAAGCUAAGGAUCACUGUGAAUAUGAAGAAUCAUACAUUGUUUAAAGAAAGCCCUAGUCCUUAUUCGAUUGCUUUGUGAAGGUUCUACCUGGUUUCUCUGAUUCUAAUAGAAUACAAUGAUAUCAUGAUUUCUGGAGCCCAAGGAAGACUGGCAUGAGAGUUUACUACAUUAAUGCUAAAAAAUAAAAUUUCAGAUAUACAGUA